AUGGGACUUCGACGCCCUAACGAUGACCUUCUGGCGCCAGGGGUACCGCGUCCAGUGGGAGGGCGUGGGUGGCGCCUCACUGGCAGCGCCGCAGAUGCAGCUGGCCGCGACUGCUGCAGGGCCCGAGCACCCUUUGUUGGAUCACCUUCUACAGCAGCACCGCGACCUCUUCGACGAGCCUCAGGGUCUUCCGCCAGCCGGGUGUAUGAUCACCGCAUUCAUCUCCUGCCAGGCACGGCGCCGAUGGCGGUGCGCCCCUACCGCUACCCCCAGCUGCAGAAGGACGAGCUGGAGCGGCAGUGCGCGCUCAUGCUCGCCUUGGGCAUCAUCCCGAUCUCUACUUCGCCGUUUUCGGUGCCGGUCCUCCUCGUCCGUAAGUCGGACGACACAUGGCGCUUCUGCAUCGGCUACCGUGCCCUUAACGCCCAGACGCUCAAGGACAAAUUUCCUAUUCCGGUCAUCGACGAGCUCCUGGACGAGCUACAUGGGGCGUGCUUCUUCACCAAGCUCGACCUCCGUUCGGGCUACCACCAGGUGCGGAUGCACCCAAACAAUGUCGCGAAAACGGCGUUUCGGACUCAUCACGGCCACUUCGAGUUCGUGGUGAUGCUUUUUGGCCUCUCCAACGCCCCGGCGACCUUCCAGGCCUUCAUGAACGACGUCCUCCGCCCCUACUUGCGUCAGUUUGUGCUUGUUUUCUUUGAUGUCAUUCUUAUCUACAGCGCCUCGUGGGUGGAGCACCUUCAGCACGUCGCCAUCGUCUUCAACGAGCUUCGAGCGCACCAUCUUCAUCUUAAGCGCUCGAAGUGCUCGUUCGGCACGACUUCAGUCGCCUACCUCGGCCACGUCAUCUCGGCCGAGGGUGACGCUAUGGACGCCGACAAGGUGGCGGCCGUGGCGGAUUGGCCGACGCCACACUCACCGCGGGCUCUCCGCGGCUUCUUGGGCCUCGCCGGGUACUACCGGAAAUUUAUCCGGGAGUUCGACAUCAUCGCGUCUCCGCUCACACGCCUGUUGCGACGCGACGCCUUCGCCUGGGAUGCGGAGGCCACUGAGGCGUUUGAGGCUCUCAAGAGGGCCCUCACGACGGGUCCCGUCCUCUAG
This 1104-nucleotide ribosomal RNA is filed under the name Triticum aestivum (bread wheat). RNAcentral describes it as "partial small subunit ribosomal RNA". Lineage: Eukaryota; Viridiplantae; Streptophyta; Magnoliopsida; Poales; Poaceae. The record is from RNAcentral.